AGAACCCCCUACCUUCUCAGGCCUCCGAGACUCAGCAUUCAUUGCCAUCCCUUGCCUGAGCCGUGCCUCUUCUCUUUCUCUCUCUCUCUCUUCGGAUUCCGACGAAACUCUCGUUGUAUUCAUUCGCCGGAAUCCCGAAAAUGGAGAUGCGAAAGAUAACAUGCGCUGCCCUCAUUGUGGCCGCCGCCACUCUGAGCGUCGCCACCGCCCAUGGGCAUGAGGCCCCGGCACCCGCCCCUGCCAUGCACAACGAUGCCGCCCCCAUCGCCACCUCUCUCAUCGGAGCCUCUCUCCUCUCUCUCCUCGCUUUCCUUAUGAACUAGGAAAAUUCCUCUAGAGAGGAAAAAAUAAAGAGACAAAUGAAACUUUUGGUAGAGUUUGAAGAACCUCUAGAGAGGGAAGAUAAUGAAACAAGGGUUUCUUUUGUUGAGUUUUAAUGCCCUCUAGAAAGGGGACAUAAGGUAGAUGGGCUUUUGGAAGCCUUGGAGAAAAGGGAAUCAUGGUGGAUUAUUACGGUGAGAUGGCCUUUUAUUUAUUUCCUUUGUUUUUGUUGUUUUUUUUUUUUUUUUUUUGGGUGGUGGCAUUCUUGAGUUUGUUGUUUUGUUAUUGUUUUCAUUUUUUGGUGGGUGAAAAUGGAGGGGCAGUACAAGUUUGAUGUGGAAGGUGUGGGUGUGAGGGAUGUGAAUGCAAUAAUGAAACUCUGAUUGUAACCUUAAUAUUAUUUUAAUUAUUUCUCGGAAUGUUUAUGUUGCUUAAACUUUCCUCCGGAUUGCUCUGUUUUUUGUUUGGAAAAUGGAAGAAAUUAAAUCUUCCAAGUAGAAAUGCUCAUUAUUUUGGGAGAAAUAUCUAAGGUUUUUUUUUUUUAGCUAAAUGAGGCGUUCGCGCUAACCGUUGUUUGUUGCUUUAUAAUUGAUUUCUCUUUCCCUAUAAUGUGGUCUACAUAGACUGUAGGAGGUUAUCACGGUCCCAUCAAUGUGUUUUACCGUGAUGGAGGGAUUUAGUCCUGCCCAAAAAAUCAUCUAUUCCAUUAUCUCCUUGCAUCUGUGUCGAAUACAUUUGAUCCACACUGAUAAACCGGAGGUGAUUGUUGUUAAUUUGUUAGGGAAAGUAUAUAAUAAGACCAUUUUUUUUUGAUAUAAGGUGGUCACAAUUGAUCACGACUACUGGAUGUGAUAUUGUAUAGUUGCAGUUAUUUUAUUGAUCAAGCUCAAAAUUCAAAAGAAAUUUUUUCGAACUUUAUAACACAUCCAAGCUAUCAGAUUUUAUAUUGGAUAUAUCGGAUAGUUAUAAGUAAUUGUGACCUUCACGUAUGAAAGAUAAAUAGUUUCAUUAUAUACAAUACCAACUCAUUAUAACGUUUGUGGCUUUAAUUGGAAGAAUGUUAAGCUAAGGAUUUCAUCGAAAUAUUUUUCUAUAUAAAUACAAGAAAUAGAUAUGUGAACUGGUCAAGGUCAAGGACAACAACUUUUUGUGGAAUCGGUCAGAACAUUGAAAUCUUCAAUAAAUAAAGAAAAUAGAAGAUCGGUUUGGUGGAUAAUUUUACGGUCUUUAAAUAAAGUAAAUACUAGAUUUUUUAGAACAAUGUAAGUGUUAGAGAUUUCAUAAUAAAAUAAGUAAUGAUCUUAUGAGACUCUCCCAUACCCAUAUGUAUAGGAUUUCAAAAGAUCACCUUUAAAUUAGAUACGGAUCUCUAAAAAAAAGGUUAUUACAUGAGUGUGAGACUUGUUUUUUUUAAAGAUAUGUAUAAAAUUUAAUGGUGAUCCUUUAAGGUCCAAUAUACAUAAAUGUGGAAGAAUUAUUACUCAUAAAAUAUUAUAUAUACAUGACAUAUGAGAAUGUCUCCCCGAAGAUAAACGCCACAAAAUGUUUAGUUGUUGAGCUGGCAGGUGUUAUUGAUCUUAGAAAAAUCUGUCAAAAUACUUGUAGAAGAUGGGUGUUAUUGAUCUUAGAAAAAUCUGUCAAAAUACCUGUAGAAGAUGAACUAUCCAAUGUCAUACUCAAUUGCAACUAUUCUUAACUCAAGAUCAUGUUUUUCUAUAAACAUUUUGAAAUAAAAAACCGAGAUAAUAUUUCAAAAGGAAAAAACGAACCUGCAUAGGGGAUGUACUUCUACAAUGGUUCCCUGCCACACCUAAACAUCCAUAUUGGAGAUGGAUGUCAUUAGUGGUGGCCCCACAUAAAUUCAUGAUUAAACAUGUUAAAACGGCAUUAAAAAAAUAUUAUUUUUAUUUUUAAAUUAUUUUUUUUCAAUUUGAUAUUAAUCAUAAAUUAGAUUUUCACUUAAAAAUUGUAUAUCUAUAAUGUAUCUUUAAAAUAGAUUUUGGACUCAUUUAAAUAGUUGAGGGCAGUGACUCUUGGGUAGCAAUGGACCCAGACCCGAGGUGUAAACCCGAUUCAGGUCUAGGCAUGAGGUCCAAAAAUUGGACCCAGACCCGAGGCGUAAACCUGAUUCAGGUCUAGGCAUGGGGUCCAAAAAUUGGACCCGACAAGCUGGGUCCCGAUCUAAUUCUUAGACCCAAAUACUAUUUGGGUUUAGGUCUGAAUCUGAUAAUAUUUUUCACGUCUCAAUAUAUGAAAUAUAUCUAUAGUUAAAUAUAUGAAUAUUCUAAUUUUUAGGUCAGUUUUUUAUGUAGUUUAGAUCCACUCUAUAUUUUCGGAUAUGAGUUCAGAUCUUGAUCCAAGUCCCCCAUUAUUUUUCGAGUCCGAUUUGGAUGGGCCCAAACCCUGAACCGACCCGACCCGACCCGACCCGACCAAUCGCCAUCCCUAUCCCUGCAAGACAUUGCCCACCUCGAAAACCAGUGAAAAUUCGGCGCCUUAUAGCUCCAAUGAGAAAAAGCCACUUAGCGCCACGUAAUAGACACGUGUCGAUUGAACCGAGCGUCUCCAACGGUAUAUGUGAACUUCACUCGGAGAAGGUGAAAGCAGUCCCUCUCUCUAAACCUGGGUUUUCAGUUCAGCGGAAACUCUCUCAAUUAUCACUGGUAUUGUCGUAGGGCCUCUCUCUCUCUCUAAGGUAUUGAGCUAUGGCGUUUGAGAAGCCUUACGUUUUGGCUGCUCUUGUUGUAAUGGUGGCAUUCGGCAUGGGAAUGGCGAAGGCAGAGGAGGAAGCCAUGGCCCCUUCUCCGGCCAUGGAGAGCGGAUCGGCGUUCAUUUUGCCUGCCCUUGUCGCUUCUUUUUGUGCUUCGUUCCUCUCGCUCUUUACUGUCUUCUCUCACUAGACCUACUUUCACCGGUGGAUUUGUGUUUCAUUCAUGUGAGUUCCGGAUUUUUAUGUAAUAUGAGUUAUAUCAUGAAUAUGUCUUAGGUUUUCUUCUGUUGGAUAUCAUCAUAUCACUUUUUUGUGGCUUUUUUUUCACUAUUUGAGAUCGGCUCAUUUUUUUUGUUGCUGUGUAUUUAUUAUUUUUGAUUUUAUGAG
Molecule: long non-coding RNA, 3418 nt
Filed under: Amborella trichopoda
Lineage: Eukaryota; Viridiplantae; Streptophyta; Magnoliopsida; Amborellales; Amborellaceae
Description: long non-coding RNA (ATRI_LNC003889)
Source: RNAcentral